RNAcentral lists this ribosomal RNA (53 nucleotides) under Porochilus rendahli. RNAcentral's name for it is "partial 16S ribosomal RNA". The record is from RNAcentral. Lineage: Eukaryota; Metazoa; Chordata; Actinopteri; Siluriformes; Plotosidae.
GCUAAAAAUCUAGCUUAACUACAGAAUUAAAUUUAAUAACAGUAAAAAUUUUA